CGACCCUCAAGCCUUGGUUGCUUGGUAUUGGGAGCUUACCCUGUAGUAACUCCUUAAAGUUAGUGGCAGAGCUGUGGAACACUCUAAGCGUAGUAAUUUCUUCUCGCUUCUGUAGUGGCCUCGGCGAUCGCCAUAAGCCUAUUUUUUAAA
RNAcentral lists this unclassified non-coding RNA (150 nucleotides) under uncultured Anthostomella. Its description in RNAcentral is "sequence contains ITS2". The record is from RNAcentral. Lineage: Eukaryota; Fungi; Ascomycota; Sordariomycetes; Xylariales; Xylariaceae.